ACGGGAGGCAGCAGUAGGGAAUCUUCCACAAUGGGCGCAAGCCUGAUGGAGCAACACCGCGUGAGUGAAGAAGGGUUUCGGCUCGUAAAGCUCUGUUGUUAGAGAAGAACGUGCGUGAGAGCAACUGUUCACGCAGUGACGGUAUCUAACCAGAAAGUCACGGCUAACUACGUGCCAGCAGCCGCGGUAAUACGUAGGUGGCAAGCGUUAUCCGGAUUUAUUGGGCGUAAAGCGAGCGCAGGCGGUUUGAUAAGUCUGAUGUGAAAGCCUUUGGCUUAACCAAAGAAGUGCAUCGGAAACUGUCAGACUUGAGUGCAGAAGAGGACAGUGGAACUCCAUGUGUAGCGGUGGAAUGCGUAGAUAUAUGGAAGAACACCAGUGGCGAAGGCGGCUGUCUGGUCUGCAACUGACGCUGAGGCUCGAAAGCAUGGGUAGCGAACAGGAUUAGAUACCCUGGUA
This 459-nucleotide ribosomal RNA is filed under the name uncultured Lactobacillus sp. RNAcentral's name for it is "bacterial SSU rRNA". It matches the Rfam family "Bacterial small subunit ribosomal RNA", at positions 341 to 792 of the family's 1533-position model. Lineage: Bacteria; Bacillati; Bacillota; Bacilli; Lactobacillales; Lactobacillaceae. The record is from RNAcentral.